Molecule: long non-coding RNA, 4332 nt
Filed under: Fragaria vesca (wild strawberry)
Lineage: Eukaryota; Viridiplantae; Streptophyta; Magnoliopsida; Rosales; Rosaceae
Description: long non-coding RNA (FVES_LNC002158)
Source: RNAcentral
CCUAGGGUUGUCAUUGGGCCGCCUUAACCUGUCUAGCCCCGUCUAUGGCCGCCUUGGGUCGCCUUGACCCACCUUGACACUUCUAGGGCAGCCAGAGGGCCGCCUUAACCAACCUAGGCCGCCAAGUGGCUGCCUUAAUACUCCUAGACCCACCUUGGCCGCCUUUACCCUCCUAGGCCCUCUCAAGCUCGCCUAGAACAGCUAAGGGGCAGUCUUGACCCGGCAAGGGCCGCAAAGGGGCCACCUUGACCUGUCCAGGGCCGCCAAGGGGUCGCCCUGACCCGCCUAGGCCUGCCUUGACCCGCCUUAGGCCGGGUUGACACACCUUGACCCGUCUAGGCUCAGGUUGUCACGCCUUAACCCGUAUUAGCCUGGCUUGACCCGCCUUAACCCGCCAUGGCCUGCCUUGGGCCACCUUGGGUCGCCUUGACUCUCCUAGGGCAGCCAAAAGGCCACCUUGACCCGUCUAGUGCCACCAAGCAACCACCUUGACGCGCCUUAACCCGUCUUAACCCGCUUUAAAUCGCCUUGACUCUCCUAGGGCAGCCAAGGGGCCGUCAUGACCCUCCUAGGGCCGCCAAGCGACCACCAUGACGUGCCUAGAGCCGCUUUUGACCCGUAUUGGCCCGCCUUAACCAUCCUUGGGCCGCCUUGACCCGCCUUGGGUCGCCUUAACCCUAUUAGGGCAGCUAAGAGGCCGCAUUGACCCGUCUAGGGCCACCAAGCGGCCGCCUUGACGUGCCUUGACCCACCUUAGGAAGCCUUGACCCCCCUUGACCCGCCUGGACCCUCCUUGGUCAGCCAAGGGACCACCUUGACCCGCCUAUGGCCGCUAAAGUGCCGCCUAGACCUGCCUAGGGCCGCCAAACCGUCGGCUUGACCCGCCUAGGCCUGCCUUGACCCUCCUAGGCUCAUCUAGGGCCACCAAGGGGCCACCAUGACUCGACAAGGGGUCUAGGAGGGUGAAGCGGCUGCCUUGACCUGCCUUGGGCAGCCAAGGGGCCGCCUUGACCCGCCUAGGGCCGCUAAGGGGUCCCCAUGACCAGCCUAGGCCUGCCUUGACCCUCUUAGGCUCGCCUAAGGCCACCAAGGGGCCGCUAUGACUCGACAAGGGUCGUCUUGACCCUCCUAGGCCCGUCUAAGGUCGCCUUGACCCGCCUAGGCCCUUCUAGGCUCGCCUAGGGCAGCCAAAGGGCCGCCCUUUAACCCUUCCGCCUUAGGGCCGGCCUUUAACCUUCGUCCCGUACGUCCAAGCGGCCGUUAUGGACCGCCUUAAACCCUGCCUUGACCCGCCUUGACCCUCCUAGGCUCACCUAAGGCCACCAAGGGGAUGUCAUGACUCACCAAGGGGUUGCCCAUGACCCUCCUAGGGCCGCCAAGGGGUUGCCUUGACCCGCUGAAGGCUGCCAUGGGGCCGCCUUGACCUGCUUAGGGCCACCUAGCGGCGACCUUGACCCUGCUAAGGCCUCCAAAGGGCCGCCUUGACCUGCCUAGACCCGGCUACGGCCGCCUUGACAUGUCUAGGGCUGCGAAGCGACUGCCUUGACCCGGCUAGGGCCACCAAGGGGCUGCCUUGACCCGUCUAGUGCCACUAAACGGCCAUCUUAACACACUUUAACCUGUCUUAACCCGUCUUAACCCACUUUAACCCUCUUAGGCCCGCCUAGGGUAGCCAAGCGGCCGCCAUGACCCUCCUAGGGCCUAAGCGGCCGCCUUGACGUGCCUACAGCCGUCUUGACCCGCAUUGGCCCACCUUGACCAUCCUUGGGCCGUCUUGACCCGCCAUGGCCUGCCUUGGAGUCUUGGCUGCCCUAGAGGCCACCUUGACUCAUCUAGGGCCACCAAGCGGCCGCCUUGACCCACCUUAGGAAGCCUUGACCCCCCUUCACCCGCCUGGACCCCCCUUGGUCAGCCAAGGGGCUGCCUUGACCCGCCUAGGGCCGCUAAAGGGGCACCUUGACUUGCCUAGGGCCGCCAAGCGGUCGGCUUGACCCGCCUUGACUAGCCUUGACCCGCCUUAACCUGCCUUGACCCUCUUAGGCUCGCCUAAGGCCACUAAGGGGCCAUCAUGACUCGACAAGGGGCCUAGGAGGCUCAAACGGCCACCUUGACCCGCCUAGGGCCGUUAAGGGGCCACCUUGACCUGCUUAGGGCCAUCCCUUGACCCGCCUUGACCUUCCUAGGCUCGGCUAUGGCCACCAAGGGGCCGUCAUGACUCGAUAAGGGUCGUCUUGACCCUCCUAGGCCCGUCUCAAGCCGCAUUGACCCGCCUAGGCUCGCCUAAGGCUGCCAAGGGGCUGCCUUGACAUGCCUAUGGCUGCUAAGGGGCCGCCUUGGCCUGCCAAAGGACGCCAAGCGGCAGUCAUGACCCGCCUAGGCCUUCCUUGGGGAACGCCUUGACCUGCCUCGACCCGCCUUGACCCGCAUAUGCUCACCUAGGGCCACCAAAGGGAUGCCAUGACUCACCAAGGAGCCGCCAUGACUCGCCAAGGGGUUGCCCAUGACCCUCCUAGGGCCGCCUUGACCUACCUAGACCCUGCUAGGGCCACCUUGACCCGCUUAGGGCUGCCAUGAGGCCACCUUGACUUGCCUAGGCCCGUUUAGGGCCGCCUUGUCCCUCCUUGACUCGUCUUGGCCCGCCUUUGGCCUCCUUGGCCCUCCUAGGCUCGCCUAAGCCAUCCUUGACCAGCGUUGGGCCGCUAAGGUGCUACGUUGACCCUCCUAGGCCCUCUUAGGCUCGCCUAGGGCAGCCAAUAGGCCGCCUUGACUCGCCAUGACCUUCCUUGACCCGCCUAGACCUCCCUUGACCCGCCUUGAUCCGCCUAUGCCCAUCUAGGGCCGCCUUGACCCGCUUUGACCUGCCUUGACUCGCCUGGACCCUCUUAGGCUUGCCUAGGGCCACAAUGACCCUCCUAGGCCCGUCUAGGGCCGCCUUGGGCCGCUUUGACCCUCCUAGGCCCGCCUAGGGCAGCCAAGGGUCUGCCAUGACCCUCCUAGGGUGGCCAAGGGGCCGCCUUGACCCUCCUUAACCCGCCUUGACCCUCCUAGGCUCACCUAGGGCCACCAAGGGGCCGCCAUGACUCGCAAAGGGGUCGCCAUGUUCCUCCUAGGCUCGUCUAGGGCCGCCUUGACCUGUCUAGGGUCGUCUUGACCCGUCUUGGGCCGCCUUAACUCGUCUUGGGCCGCUUUGACCCUCCUAGGCCCGCCUAGGGCAGCCAAGGGGCCGCCUUGACCCUUCUAGGGCCGCCAAGGGGCUGCCUUAACCCGCUUAGGGCUGCCAUGGGGCCGUCUUGACCCGCUUAGGGCUGCCAUGGGCCCGCCUUGACCCGUUUAGGGCCUCCUUGACCCGGCUAGGGUCACUAAGGGGGCCGCUUUCACCCGUCUAAGGCCGCCAAGGGGCAGCCUUAACUUGCUUAUGUACUGUCGCCAAGGGACCGCCUAGGGCCGCCUUAACCCGAGUAGGGUCACCAAGAGGCCGCCUUGACCCUUCUAGGGUCGCCAAGAGGCCGCCUUAACUUAUCUAGGUCCACCAAGGGCCGUCUUGACCCGGCUAGGGCUUCAGUUCUUCUCAUACUGACCUCGGGAACCUAAAUUUUGAAAAAGCAUAUGUGUUACCCAUCUUUUCAAGUUUCACCAAAUUUCAGCCAAAACCUCUUGUUAUAGUACACGAGUUUUUGAGAAAUUUCACUAUUUCUGAACGUUUGGUUUUUUUCCAAUCUUAUGUGCUUUUACACAUCUUCUAACAUCAAUUGAACCAUUGUAGCAUCAAAAGCUCAUGACCUUUAUCAUUUUACUCACAAUCGAGCCUAAAUGACUCGCGACAACUUUGUUUGGUAAGGGUGUUGGAACUGUUGCUAUCAGUGGAACAAGGUGAAUCGCCAUGCUUGUGGAGUCUUCAAUUCUUCUCAUACUAACCUCGGAAACCUAAAUUUUUAAAAAGUGUACGUGCUACCCAUCUUUUCAAGUUUCACCAAAUUUCAGCCAAAACCCCUUGUCCCCACACGAGUUUUUGAGAAAUUUCAAUUUUACUGAACGUCUGUUUUUUUUCCAUUCCUAUGUGCUUACACACAUCACCUAACAUCAAUUGAACCAUUAUAACAUCAAAAGCUCAUGGCCUUUAUCAUUUCACUCACAAUCGAGCCUAAAUAUAGAUCAACUAACAUGAAUUGAACCAUUAUAGCAUCAAAAGCUCGUGGCCUUUAUCAUUUUACUCGCAAUCGAGCCUAAAUGACUCACGACAACUUUAUUUGGUAAAGGGGUUGGAACUGUUACUUUCAGUGGAACAAGGUGAAUCGCCAUGCUUUUGGAGUCUUCAAUUCUUCUCAUACUGAC